Molecule: long non-coding RNA, 376 nt
Filed under: Mytilus galloprovincialis (Mediterranean mussel)
Lineage: Eukaryota; Metazoa; Mollusca; Bivalvia; Mytilida; Mytilidae
Source: RNAcentral
UGAUGAUUCAAAAUUUCAUUUUUGAGUUAUUGAGUAUUUUAUAAAAAAGGGGGAGGGUUUUUUACAUGUCGCGCCGUAUCUCAAAAACGAUUUAUGAUUAUGGUUUAAAACUUUACACACAUCAUUGUUAUAUUAAUCUAAAGAUCUGUAUACUUUUUGGUGAUGAUUCAAAAUUUCAAUUUUGAGUUAUUGAGUAUUUUGUAAAAAAGGGGGAGGGUGUUUUUACAUGUCGUGCUGUAUCUCAAAAACGAUUUAUGAUUAUUGCUUAAAACUUUACACACUUCUUUUUUAUAUUAAUCUAAAGAUCUGUAUACUUUUUGGUGAUGACUCAAAAUUUUAUUUUUAAGUUAUUGAGUAUUUUGUAAAAAAGGGGAGG